This 406-nucleotide ribosomal RNA is filed under the name uncultured bacterium. RNAcentral's name for it is "partial 16S ribosomal RNA". It matches the Rfam family "Bacterial small subunit ribosomal RNA", at positions 30 to 526 of the family's 1533-position model. The record is from RNAcentral.
AUUGAACGCUGGCGGCAGGCCUAACACAUGCAAGUCGAACGAGUGGCGGACGGGUGAGUAAUGUCUGGGAAACUGCCCGAUGGAGGGGGAUAACUACUGGAAACGGUAGCUAAUACCGCAUACCAUCGGAUGUGCCCAGAUGGGAUUAGCUUGUAGGUGAGGUAACGGCUCACCUAGGCGACGAUCCCUAGCUGGUCUGAGAGGAUGACCAGACACACUGGAACUGAGAAACGGUCCAGACUCCUAGGGGAGGAAGCAGUGGGGAAGAUUGCACAAGGGUCGCAAGCCUGAGGCAGCCAUGACGCGUGUAUGAAGAAGGACUUAGGGUUGUAAAGUACUUUCAGCGGGGAGGCGUUACCCGCAGAAGAAGCACCGACUAACUCCGUGCCAGCAGCCGCGGUAAUAC